Molecule: non-coding RNA, 295 nt
Organism: Lonchura striata (white-rumped munia)
Lineage: Eukaryota; Metazoa; Chordata; Aves; Passeriformes; Estrildidae
Source: RefSeq, a predicted model, not a curated record
UUCUAUAGAGGUUUUUCCACUCUUGUUGAGAAGCUGAAAUUCAUCGUGCUUGGACUUGGUGUUUCUAAAGCUGGAGAGGAAGGGAAAAGUGACCCAACAAGCUCCUGCUCACUAGAAAGAGGGGAAGCACCACAGGAUCAUGGUGGGAAGGGAAGAGCACAGAUGGGGCUGACCCACACUGAGUCACCAGGACAUCUGUUCCUGCCUGGUCUGGGCACACAAUUUCCACAGUGCCAGAAAAGGUGAAACACGAAGCUUUCUACAAUCAAAAAGCAGUUCAUACCCUCUGUGGAGA